RNAcentral lists this long non-coding RNA (763 nucleotides) under Mytilus galloprovincialis (Mediterranean mussel). Lineage: Eukaryota; Metazoa; Mollusca; Bivalvia; Mytilida; Mytilidae. The record is from RNAcentral.
GGCUUUUUUUAAAUAACAUAUGAAAUUAUAAAUUUAUUUCAAUAGUAAAAAAUUGAAAUACAUUGCACCAAAACGAAACAUUUAGUAAACAUCAUGUACAUGGCACAGUAGAUGGAUCAACAUGCAAAAAUUAAUGUAUUUUUAGUAUGGCUUUGUCAACUUCUGCUUAAGCAUCUCAAAAUUUCUAUCAGCCCAUAGACUUUAUAUGCAUUUGUAUGGGUCAAAGGUUUAACUUUAACACUAUUUUAUUAAUCUGAAAUGCAUAAAUUUAUACAUUUUGACACAAUACCUUCCAAAAAAUGAGUGUUUAAAAACAGUAUAAAUAUUUUCAACAUUUAUUUAAGCAAUGGGUGUACAUUCCUGAAUACUGUUGUUGAUCUAACAAAUUGUGUUGACCUAAUCAUAUAAAACAAGAAUGUGUCCAAAGUACACGGAUGCCCCACUCGCACUAUCCUUUUCCAUGUUCCAUGUACUGUAAAAAUUGGGUAAUUAAUCUAAUUUGGCAUUAAAAUUAGAAAGAUUAUACUAUAGGGAACAUAUGUACUAAAAUUCAAGUUAAUUGGACUUCAAUUUCAUCAAAAACUACCUUGACCAAAAACUUUAACCUGAAACUCCCACUUUCAUUUUCUAUGUUUAGUGAACCGUGAAAUUGGGGUCAAAAGUCCUAAUUUGGCUUUAAAAUUAGAAAGAUCAUAUCAUAAGCAACAAGUGUACUAAGUUUCAAGUUGAUUGGACUUCAGCUUCAUCAAAAACUACCUUGACC